Long non-coding RNA from Megalops cyprinoides (Indo-Pacific tarpon), 540 nucleotides. RefSeq lists it as uncharacterized. NCBI's taxonomy places the organism in Eukaryota, Metazoa, Chordata, Actinopteri, Elopiformes, Megalopidae. The record is from RefSeq and is a predicted model, not a curated record. The transcript is spliced from 3 exons.
AAAGUACGAAGUUGUAAAAAACCGUGUGCUCUAGGACCAGUAACGUCUUCCCUUGGCAUUUUUUUUUUGUAAGUAGGAUAGUCCAUGGCCGGGGAUUUAUGAAAUCCUACCGAUCAACACCUGCGAGGUGAGGGUACAGACUUCAAAGUAUCUACAUCCACAAUACACAGGAGAUCAAUCCAUUCGCGCACAUGUAUCUUCUAGUUUAUUCGUGAACGCCAAAACGAGCACUGCGUUGGAAAUAACCGCACAGCGUCCUCUCCAAGUGUUCAUCCUCCUCUUCAGCCCUGGGGAGACAGAAGAUGGCAUUAGGAGCCAUGGGAUGGCAUGGCAACGUGUCCCCAUCCACCUGCCCGAUGGGCAAACGACAGGACAAGCCAAAGGACAAAUCGCAACGCUUCCUCCGACCUGCACCCCUCAUCCCUCUGCGAGCUCGGCCGACUUCCACGUCCAAAGGAACGGGAUGGUCACGCCCGCGCACGCUCUGACACUGACCAGACAUCGCAACCCAGCCCCCGCUGAUGCCUCACGGGCCUUCUG